AACGUGCCCGAUCGUGGGGGAUAACGGAGCGAAAGCUUUGCUAAUACCGCAUACGAUCUACGGAUGAAAGCAGGGGACCGCAAGGCCUUGCGCGGACGGAGCGGCCGAUGGCAGAUUAUGUAGUUGGUGGGAUAAAAGCUUACCAAGCCGACGAUCUGUAGCUGGUCUGAGAGGACGACCAGCCACACUGGGACUGAGACACGGCCCAGACUCCUACGGGAGGCAGCAGUGGGGAAUUUUGGACAAUGGGCGAAAGCCUGAUCCAGCCAUGCCGCGUGCAGGAUGAAGGCCUUCUGGUUGUAAACUGCUUUUGUACGGAACGAAAAGACUCCUUCUAAUAAAGGGGGUNCAUGACGGUACCGUAAGAAUAAGCACCGGCUAACUACGUGC
Molecule: ribosomal RNA, 390 nt
Filed under: uncultured bacterium
Lineage: Bacteria
Description: bacterial SSU rRNA
Rfam family: Bacterial small subunit ribosomal RNA
Source: RNAcentral